GCCAGCAUGGCGGAUAUGCCCCUUGGCUUGUAACCGAGUGGGUUCGGGUUCGAAUCCCGAGUAAGGCA
Non-coding RNA from Trichonephila clavipes, 68 nucleotides. The record is from the annotation of a GenBank genome assembly. Lineage: Eukaryota; Metazoa; Arthropoda; Arachnida; Araneae; Nephilidae.